This 761-nucleotide long non-coding RNA is filed under the name Carica papaya (papaya). Its description in RNAcentral is "long non-coding RNA (CPAP_LNC015148)". Lineage: Eukaryota; Viridiplantae; Streptophyta; Magnoliopsida; Brassicales; Caricaceae. The record is from RNAcentral.
UUUUCUUCAUUUCUAAUUGUCACCUUGUUUCUUCUUCCAAUGUUCAUCUUUUCUUAUUUACAGAACCUCAUUUCUCUUAUAACUAAUAUUAUGUGAAACACUAAUUUGUUACAGCGUUUGGGUUCUUUUUUUCUUUCUCUUAUUCAUUCUCCUUAUAUUUAUGCUACAUGUCGUCAAACUUCAGAGACAAAGAUAUUUACUUAUAUUCUGAGGUCUUCGAGGUUAUGGUUUCAGUUCUUUGAAUCUUUGGGAGAUUUAGGUUUUGCCUUUACCUUGGAAGUUUUCUUUUUCCAUGCAUUGGAGAGAUUGAGUAAAGAGGAAGGAGUUUAAGCUUUACUGCAGGGGUGCUCUGUUUGAUUGGAUGUUGGAUCUUAUGGUUCAAGCAGAAUGCUAGAAUUUCUAAUAAACGUGUCCAGUACUCUACUCUUGUUCUGAGAUAUUGUGAUGCUUUUGGCCUCUUUAUGUGCCUUUUAAUUUUUGGAAACAUGCUAUUACCUAGUUUGCUAAGGAAUUGGAAAGCUAUUAUGUUUAGGCCUUCCCAUUUUCCAAUUUUACAUUCUGGUUUUCCAUUCUUGUUCCUGUACAAUGAUAAUUUAUUUUGGAAUGGGAAAACAUAAAUGUUCUAAACAGAGGCAUCAAAGGGGUGGCACCCAUGUACAAACAAAUAGAGACCAAACUUAGACAAGGGAAUCAAACAAAAAAUUAAUGAUACCCUCAAGGUUUUUGCCAUUAAGGAGUGGAUGACCAUUAAUCAAAAUGCA